RNAcentral lists this ribosomal RNA (1372 nucleotides) under uncultured bacterium. Its description in RNAcentral is "bacterial SSU rRNA". It matches the Rfam family "Bacterial small subunit ribosomal RNA", at positions 28 to 1381 of the family's 1533-position model. The record is from RNAcentral.
GAUGAACGCUGGCGGCGUGCCUAAUACAUGCAAGUCGAGCGAACGGACGAGAAGCUUGCUUCUCUGAUGUUAGCGGCGGACGGGUGAGUAACACGUGGAUAACCUACCUAUAAGACUGGGAUAACUUCGGGAAACCGGAGCUAAUACCGGAUAAUAUUUUGAACCGCAUGGUUCAAAAGUGAAAGACGGUCUUGCUGUCACUUAUAGAUGGAUCCGCGCUGCAUUAGCUAGUUGGUAAGGUAACGGCUUACCAAGGCAACGAUGCAUAGCCGACCUGAGAGGGUGAUCGGCCACACUGGAACUGAGACACGGUCCAGACUCCUACGGGAGGCAGCAGUAGGGAAUCUUCCGCAAUGGGCGAAAGCCUGACGGAGCAACGCCGCGUGAGUGAUGAAGGCCUUCGGAUCGUAAAACUCUGUUAUUAGGGAAGAACAUAUGUGUAAGUAACUGUGCACAUCUUGACGGUACCUAAUCAGAAAGCCACGGCUAACUACGUGCCAGCAGCCGCGGUAAUACGUAGGUGGCAAGCGUUAUCCGGAAUUAUUGGGCGUAAAGCGCGCGUAGGCGGUUUUUUAAGUCUGAUGUGAAAGCCCACGGCUCAACCGUGGAGGGUCAUUGGAAACUGGAAAACUUGAGUGCAGAAGAGGAAAGUGGAAUUCCAUGUGUAGCGGUGAAAUGCGCAGAGAUAUGGAGGAACACCAGUGGCGAAGGCGACUUUCUGGUCUGUAACUGACGCUGAUGUGCGAAAGCGUGGGGAUCAAACAGGAUUAGAUACCCUGGUAGUCCACGCCGUAAACGAUGAGUGCUAAGUGUUAGGGGGUUUCCGCCCCUUAGUGCUGCAGCUAACGCAUUAAGCACUCCGCCUGGGGAGUACGACCGCAAGGUUGAAACUCAAAGGAAUUGACGGGGACCCGCACAAGCGGUGGAGCAUGUGGUUUAAUUCGAAGCAACGCGAAGAACCUUACCAAAUCUUGACAUCCUUUGACAACUCUAGAGAUAGAGCUUUCCCCUUCGGGGGACAAAGUGACAGGUGGUGCAUGGUUGUCGUCAGCUCGUGUCGUGAGAUGUUGGGUUAAGUCCCGCAACGAGCGCAACCCUUAAGCUUAGUUGCCAUCAUUAAGUUGGGCACUCUAAGUUGACUGCCGGUGACAAACCGGAGGAAGGUGGGGAUGACGUCAAAUCAUCGUGCCCCUUAUGAUUUGGGCUACACACGUGCUACAAUGGACAAUACAAAGGGCAGCGAAACCGCGAGGUCAAGCAAAUCCCAUAAAGUUGUUCUCAGUUCGGAUUGUAGUCUGCAACUCGACUACAUGAAGCUGGAAUCGCUAGUAAUCGUAGAUCAGCAUGCUACGGUGAAUACGUUCCCGGGUCU